This 301-nucleotide ribosomal RNA is filed under the name uncultured bacterium. RNAcentral describes it as "partial 16S ribosomal RNA". It matches the Rfam family "Bacterial small subunit ribosomal RNA", at positions 509 to 809 of the family's 1533-position model. The record is from RNAcentral.
CAGUCGCCGCGGUAAUACGUAUGUCGCAAGCGUUAUCCGGAAUUAUUGGGCAUAAAGGGCAUCUAGGCGGCCUAACAAGUCAGGGGUGAAAACCUGCGGCUCAACCGCAGGCCUGCCUUUGAAACUGUAAGGCUGGAGUACCGGAGAGGUGGACGGAACUGCACGAGUAGAGGUGAAAUUCGUAGAUAUGUGCAGGAAUGCCGAUGAUGAAGAUAGUCCACUGGACGGAAACUGACGCUGAAGUGCGAAAGCCGGGGGAGCGAACAGGAUUAGAUACCCCAGUAGUCCCUGUCUCUUAUAA